GUGGGGAAUAUUGGACAAUGGGCGAAAGCCUGAUCCAGCAAUGCCGCGUGAGUGAUGAAGGCCUUAGGGUUGUAAAGCUCUUUUACCAGGGAUGAUAAUGACAGUACCUGGAGAAUAAGCUCCGGCUAACUCCGUGCCAGCAGCCGCGGUAAUACGGAGGGAGCUAGCGUUGUUCGGAAUUACUGGGCGUAAAGCGCGCGUAGGCGGUUACUCAAGUCAGAGGUGAAAGCCCGGGGCUCAACCCCGGAACUGCCUUUGAAACUAGGUGACUAGAAUCUUGGAGAGGUCAGUGGAAUUCCGAGUGUAGAGGUGAAAUUCGUAGAUAUUCGGAAGAACACCAGUGGCGAAGGCGACUGACUGGACAAGUAUUGACGCUGAGGUGCGAAAGCGUGGGGAGCAAACAGGAUUAGAUACCCGAGUAGUCC
RNAcentral lists this ribosomal RNA (425 nucleotides) under uncultured bacterium. RNAcentral describes it as "partial 16S ribosomal RNA". It matches the Rfam family "Bacterial small subunit ribosomal RNA", at positions 354 to 796 of the family's 1533-position model. The record is from RNAcentral.